Molecule: ribosomal RNA, 478 nt
Filed under: uncultured bacterium
Lineage: Bacteria
Description: partial 16S ribosomal RNA
Rfam family: Bacterial small subunit ribosomal RNA
Source: RNAcentral
GAUGAACGCUGGCGGCGUGCUUAACACAUGCGAGUCGAACGAGAAAUGGAGACGGAACCCUUCGGGCGGAAGGCUUCAUUUCGAGUGGCGGACGGGUGAGUAACGCGUGGGUAACCUGCCUCAUACAGGGGGAUAACAGUUGGAAACGACUGUUAAUACCGCAUAAGACCACAGCACCGCAUGGUGCGGGGGUAAAAACUCCGGUGGUAUGAGAUGGACCCGCGUUCGAUUAGCCAGUUGGCGGGGUAACGGCCCACCAAAGCGACGAUCGAUAGCCGAUCUGAGAGGAUGACCGGCCACAUUGGGACUGAGACACGGCCCAAACUCCUACGGGAGGCAGCAGUGGGGAAUAUUGCACAAUGGGGGAAACCCUGAUGCAGCGACGCCGCGUGAGUGAAGAAGUACUUCGGUAUGUAAAGCUCUAUCAGCAGGGAAGAAAAUGACGGUACCUGAGUAAGAAGCCCCGGCUAACUACGUG